CCUGGACUAAAGCAUCCUUUCAAAUACCAGUCGUAAAGUCUGGACCAGCAAAUACUUGGCACAUAAAGCCCAAGUAUGGCCCAAGUUUCCAAGUAGGAACUUACCCCGUGCACAAAUGGUAAAAAUGUGAACCUAUUGCUUCAUCAGAAGGUAUAAAGGCACAUAAUCUGAUGCAGAGAAAGAGCUAGUGAAUCACAUAAUUAAAGCGUUAAUGUAAAAUCUAGAACAUAACAGGAAUACCAAAUGUGCCUCGAGAGCGAGCAAUUCCGGAAGAGGCAACAAACAAAGCAGGAAAGAUCAAAACUUCACGAGGAAAGAUCGGGACUACAGAACCUCUCGGAUCUAACGGUACGACUUCUGGAACCUGGCGCGUGCGCC
RNAcentral lists this long non-coding RNA (378 nucleotides) under Musa acuminata (dwarf banana). RNAcentral's name for it is "long non-coding RNA (MACU_LNC001460)". The record is from RNAcentral. Lineage: Eukaryota; Viridiplantae; Streptophyta; Magnoliopsida; Zingiberales; Musaceae.